Molecule: ribosomal RNA, 471 nt
Filed under: Lactobacillus gasseri
Lineage: Bacteria; Bacillati; Bacillota; Bacilli; Lactobacillales; Lactobacillaceae
Description: bacterial SSU rRNA
Rfam family: Bacterial small subunit ribosomal RNA
Source: RNAcentral
GACGAACGCUGGCGGCGUGCCUAAUACAUGCAAGUCGAGCGAGCUUGCCUAGAUGAAUUUGGUGCUUGCACCAAAUGAAACUAGAUACAAGCGAGCGGCGGACGGGUGAGUAACACGUGGGUAACCUGCCCAAGAGACUGGGAUAACACCUGGAAACAGAUGCUAAUACCGGAUAACAACACUAGACGCAUGUCUAGAGUUUAAAAGAUGGUUCUGCUAUCACUCUUGGAUGGACCUGCGGUGCAUUAGCUAGUUGGUAAGGUAACGGCUUACCAAGGCAAUGAUGCAUAGCCGAGUUGAGAGACUGAUCGGCCACAUUGGGACUGAGACACGGCCCAAACUCCUACGGGAGGCAGCAGUAGGGAAUCUUCCACAAUGGACGCAAGUCUGAUGGAGCAACGCCGCGUGAGUGAAGAAGGGUUUCGGCUCGUAAAGCUCUGUUGGUAGUGAAGAAAGAUAGAGGUAGUAUUC